Non-coding RNA from Stegodyphus dumicola, 72 nucleotides. The record is from the annotation of a RefSeq genome assembly. Lineage: Eukaryota; Metazoa; Arthropoda; Arachnida; Araneae; Eresidae.
UCCUUCGUAGUGUAAUGGUUAGUACACUCGGCUUUUAUUCGAGAGGUCCAGGUUCGAUUCCCGGCGAGGGCA